CUGCUGAAGUUCUAGAACCUAGGUGAGGUUUGGUUGGCUGAGGUCCGGAGCCGAUGACCAAGAAAGAAUUCUUGAGACAUCUUUGGUGCAAAAUGGUGGUUUAUUAAAGCAUGGGGACAGGACCCGUGGGCAGGAAGAGCUGCCACCCCGGGUUGUGAAGGAUGGCAGGUUAUGUAGCCUGCGGUUGGGGGAAGGGAGCAUCACAGGGAGAAGAAAAGCAUAAACUGCCCCUACCCAAAGAAAAAGUAAAAGUAAUUUAGAAGAAGAAAACCCAGUUCAUUAAAGGUGAGUGGCUAGGACUUGUUAAUUUUGAUUAUCAUCUGGGUUUUGGCAAUUUCCCAUGACUGCUGACUUC
This 355-nucleotide long non-coding RNA is filed under the name Mustela putorius furo (domestic ferret). RNAcentral describes it as "lncRNA (ENSMPUG00000025954.1)". The record is from RNAcentral. Lineage: Eukaryota; Metazoa; Chordata; Mammalia; Carnivora; Mustelidae.